GCUGUUUGGGUGAUGAAGUAUACCUGGAUGUAAAACAAUUCAGUACCGCUGAGAUGCGCAAAAUUCCAUGCGGAGAAUUCCAUGUUGCCUUCCUUCUGACGAAAUGC
Molecule: small nucleolar RNA, 107 nt
Filed under: Acidomyces richmondensis BFW
Lineage: Eukaryota; Fungi; Ascomycota; Dothideomycetes; Mycosphaerellales; Teratosphaeriaceae
Description: Small nucleolar RNA Z13/snr52
Rfam family: Small nucleolar RNA Z13/snr52
About the family: Z13 or snr52 is a member of the C/D class of snoRNA which contain the C (UGAUGA) and D (CUGA) box motifs. Most of the members of the box C/D family function in directing site-specific 2'-O-methylation of substrate RNAs.
Source: Rfam by way of RNAcentral